GCUGUGAGACGAAGGUGCAAAAAGGAAUGAUCUCUUACAGCCUUUGAUUAAAAAACGAAAAAGUGCUGCUCUUCUUUCUGCCUUGUCUAUCUACCUGACGAUAGAAGGAAUGAACGAUUCCCCCAGUGUCAGAUCUUCCCACCAGACUGUCAGCGUGCUCCCACCAGUUACAACAUAUCUGUCUUUUCAUUAGCUUAACUUCCAGGAAGAAUUUUUGGUGUGCGCCUGAAGCACGGGGCUAUUUGCAAAGGAUUUCAGCUGUUCCUGCAGGCUCCUACGCCUCAUGUUCUCCCCUCGCUUUCAGGUCUACAGAUGACGGGAAGGUCGGUGUGACCGCGGCUCAAAGUUUGGGACCGCAGGUUUGACAAAUGUUGUGGACUCACAUGAUUUGACUUCCAUGAAUAGUUUUUUUUCCCAGCAAUACCAGUGGCGGGGGAGGAAUCUGACCCACGGAGCCCUUCUAAAAGACACUCUGUUACAACAGCAAAGCUUCCGGAAACUUCUCCUCGGCUCAGGGUGCUUUGUAAUGGGUUGGCUCUUGGUUUCACAGUGAGCUCCAGCUGCUGCUCUUCCUGCAGCUCGCAGCUACACACCUGGAGGAGCACUGGGCUCACAGCGGCUGCCCCAGGCUGCAUCACAACCGAAGGCCACGUAGCUCUGGAGGAAAUGGAAGAAAUAUUCAGAUAAGUCGGAAACGGUCCUGCAGCACAAGCAUGAGCAAUUACCCACGUGGUUCUUCGUGACAUUGUUCUUCAGCUGCAGAUCCUGGGAGAUCGCCACAGUUGUUCACAUUCAAACAAAAGGAGUCUAAUGAAAGUAUUUUAAUCUGCUCAUCAGCUACUUGGAGAGAAAGGGAUGGCCGUGCUAGGUGUCUUCGGAGUCUGGAAAUGAAUGCAGCAAUGCAAAACAAUAAACGCUGUACGAGGGUUUCAAUCUGAAUCGAGCUGGUAGCAAAGUGAUGAGGGAGGCAGCUGAUGGAGCCGGAGGAGUCGCAUUGGAGCCCGGCGCCCGCGGUGAGAUGCUGCACAGCCAUCGGUAAGGGAUGAUCAUGCUGUUCCCCGAGUAAGGAACUCGCCCAGCAUUUCAAAUACAUUUGCUAAAAUGCAUAUAAUGAUGAUAGAGCUAGGGUGAGUUUCAGUCUGUGUUUUUUUACCCCUGGUAAAAUAAAUUAGGGUUAUUUUUUCAGACCCUGCUGUGUGUUCGUGUAGCGUGAAAACUCUAUUUAUUGAAAAAUAGGUCGCAUAGUGAGUUCUAGGGCCUGAAUUUAUUCUCAAAUAGCAAGAAAUGCACCAUGCAGCUUUCCUACAGCAUUUUAGACUUUAAGGGUUAAGAAUGAAUUAUGUGCUUUUAAUGGGAUGUUAACCUGAGAUAACGUAGCUUCACAGAUAAGCCUUAGGAUCUUCCUCACGUAGAUCUCGUACUUGGUAGCAGUCUCCAUUGAAGUUCAUUACAAGUGAAAACGAAACCAGAAUCCUCUGUCCUCAGUGGAAACAGCCAACAAUGGUGUGGUGUAAUGAUGUUUUUGGAGGCAUUUGCAGCCUCCUGUCUGUUCUGAAGGCAGAAGAACCAUGGAUCUUGGUAUGGCUCCAACAGAAGCUGUCUGUGUAAAGGAUGUGUCCCUGUUCUCGGUGCUAUGGACCCCAAGGCAACUCAGAAACUUCCCCUCAGAGGUUAACAUAUUAAACAGCUCAUGUGUGGAAAGAAGCAAUAAUACUCAUGUAUAAGUAUGGGUACGUCCUUUUUAAAUUAAAAGAAAGUAUCCAGCAAAGACUUUAAAUGAAUCUCAGCUGCUAAUGCUCUUCUUGCAGGGCCAUUUCUGCCCUCAGCCCAAGCACUGUUGGUGCCAUCCACAGCCCAGAUGCACAGCUCAUGGGGUGCAGCACUGACAGCAGCCUGUCUGCACAGAGCUUGCCUCCUCAGAUGGGCAGUUUUAUUUCCACUUUUGAGCCUUUUGAGAGGAGCUGCUUUGCUACCUGCGAGUCCGUUUCAGUGAGACUCACGCAGCCCAGAGUGCAGUCAUUAAGCCCUGCUGUUUGCCUUGGAAAAAAAGCGAGCUGACCCCACUGAGUGGGCAGCAGAACCUCCCCGUGGAGCUGCCCUGUCCCAGGGCCAUCCACACGAUGCACAGGACCCGCUGCUGCCUGGUGCUGCACAGCCAGAACCACUUUUUAUUUCUUUUUUUUUUAAUUUCCCUAAUUGGAACUGGUUUUGAUUGAUUUCCAAACAGAUAUCUUACAGCAGCAGGCAUUUUCCCCCUUUGCUUCUGUUAAUUGUAGGUGGUAGUACAUCCCUGAUUACAUCCCUGUAGUCCUCAGCCACAGACAGCAGGAGCAGCCAGACCUGAGGCCUUUCCCCAUCCACAGCUGCUGUGCAUUUCUGCUUCAUGAAACAUUGCUGCUUUGUAGCUACAGCACUGCACAACACCUCUACUUAGGUCCAUGUCUUUACCUGCUUAACUUUUGUAUUUGUGAAAAUGCAGAUUUAUUUAUUUCCUUCCUGGGGGCAUCCAAAGACUGAAGAUAAAGAUGAAGAAGUUGCUGUAAAAAGAAAAGAGUGAACAAAACAAUAUGGAGAUCUUUUUUUGCUAUUGAAACGAAGCAUAUUUCGUUGCCUAAUGGGAUUUAUCUUCUCAGAUAACAUGUUUUCUGCUGUAAAGCAACAGCCAGCCCAUUUCCUGUAAGCUCCUUAAGGUACAAGUUUUCGAGAGCUGUCACAAUAUAUUGUGUUGCUUGAGCUCGCUGCCAGCGCGCAUCACACGGCACGUGGGGAGCUGCGCAUGCAGAUUAGUGCCUGCCUCGUGCAAUUCCAGCAGCCUUUCCUAAAUCAAAGCAGGAAAAGCGUUCGCAUGGGGGUAAAAAUAAGGCAAGAAAAUCUUCCCAUGAGCCACACUUAUUGUUGCAGUGUCUGGGGGAAGAGAAAGAAGGAGCAUCGCUUGGUGGAAAGGGGCAGGAGCUCUGCUUAUUUCCUUGGGCCAUCUGCGCAGAGGAGCAAUGCUGGGCAGCGUGUUGGGGGGUGAGCAGGGUGCCCGCUCCCUGUGCUGCGUGGUGCUGAGCAGGGCUGAGCCCGCAGCGGAUCCGUGCUGCUGGAGAUGGGGUUCUGUGUGCCACCGGGAGCCGUCCUCUGCUGGGAGCUCUCCCAGCGUGAUGAGAAGACAGACAGGAGCGCGUACCCAUUAAAAGAGAGUGAAUUAUUUCUUGUUGCUGUUAGCCGCAGCACUGUUACAUUAUACACGAGGCCUCGCUGAUCAAAGCCGCAGCAGAAGUCAGAUUUCUUCUCUUGCUGAGGAUUAGCCUUUGUGUCAGAGAGAUGCCAUGCGAUAACCUCUGCUUUUCCCACUAAACUGGUGGUCUUUCACCCUUGCACAUAAACUUCCAGUAACUGGCACUGGCGUUAUGAAUAUACAUGGGAAGCGUUUGGCACUGCUUUGGUGGUAGGGAGAGCCUCAAACGUGGGGAUUUUCCUUCUCUUGUUGGUGAGGGGGUAUUCAGGUGGAAGUGCUAUUUGGGUUAUCUAAUUAAGCAUAGAAUCAUAGAAUGAUUUGAGUAUAGGGAGCCUUAAAGAUCAUCUGAUUCCUGCUCUGCUGCCACGGACCUGUUAGACAACGCAUGCCGCUGCACCCCUCUUGGGUUGCCAGUCCGCGUGUUUUCUCUGCGUGUCCUCCCAAAGGGCAGUCACGUAACUAGGUCUGAGUGUGUUCCCACUUCUUCAACUUCCUUAGGGAUUUGGGGGAAAACAGAAAAAAUCAUUUUAUGUAGGCUAAGUACUCCAGAUUUGUAAGAGCCAUUUGCGUGGAUGACACAAAAUACGUGAUUCCUGAAAGGCUUCGUUUCUACACCUCGUGUUAUGGCACCGUUAUUUGAAAUAAGCACAGCUGGAGCCCAGAGGCUAAGCAAAGACGAGAUGCUGCAUGGGAUAAUGGGUAAACUUCUGCUCUAUCCUAACUGGAUUUUAAGCAAUGCCCACACCCCCACAACGUUCACGGAGCUGUCACGUGCUUUCACGAGUUCACCACCCUCCCGGCUGAACGGAAAGAAAAAUAGAGAGUGCUGACUUCAUUACUUGCACCUUGGAAGUGGCUUGACAGCCAUUUAGAAAAAUAGUUAGCAUUCAGCGAUCUCCAGUGCCUCCUUCCCCGCGGAGCCCGUGCCAGCAGCCCCAUCCGUCUCCGUCCCCCCGGCGCGGCACACGGCCCGCACGGCACCGCCACUUUGAUUCAUGGGAUCAAUAACUCGAAGGCUCUGCCUAAAAGGAUGGAAAAUGCGGUGUGACCCGGCGGGUGAGUAAUGGCUGUUGUGUGUGGCAAAAUAACUGGGCUGCGUCUGUGUCAACAAAUAAAGCCUCCUGAGCACAACCAAAUUACAAAGAUCCUUUUAUUCUGUUUCUUAAAUCUUUGCUUUAAUGCUGACCUUAUUCUCAGUGCUCUCUGGUAAAUAUAGUCUGGUGCUACGUGAAUGAAUUUGGGAGUGUGUUUAAGCUGCGACUUACUCAGGUUUUAUCUUGCCUCCUUCAGAGGAAGGUUUAUACUAAUAGCUUCAUUAACUUGCUCUAAAGCCUUUCUCAUCUUCCUUUCGAAUUGUGUACCACGCAGCAUCAGUCCAGGGGUAUCUUUGUGGUUGAAAGGGUGAGAAUAAAGCACAGCAAGAAGUUCCUGUUAUUUUCCAAAGGCCUCGGCUUCCUUGGGAAGGCCGUUGGUUUGGGGGCUUUCAUGCAGCCACAGGUUUCCUUGGGCACUGGAGCUGGUGCUGCAGGCAGUGCCCAAGGCUCUGGGCAGCACUAAGGAACCCGACCUGCGGUGCAUCCCUGAGGGCAGAAGGGAUGCUCUGUUGGUAUAAAGGGAAAGGUAACAGUCGUCAUAUCGCAGUUCACUCUCUAUUAGGAAAGAGCAAAUGCUGGCUUUGAUUGUGACACAUUUCUGUUUUAUCCACCAAAUCCAUUGCUGGAUGAAGCUGGCGCCGGCUUCUCUUGAGUCACACGGAGAGGUUUUUGGCGCUUAAUGCAUUAACAUGUGUGUAUUCUUUGUGGCUACAAUUUAAACAAAUGUUUUGAAAGGGUGACAGAGAAAAUUAUUUUUCUUGCCUACAUUAACAAGUAGGUGUCAUGUAUUUUAAUUACUGUGACCAAGCUGCAAUUACAGCUGAUAAACAUAUGGAGAUUAAGCUGCAAAAUGAGAGGAACAUUUAUGUUUUCUCAAGGAAAUGCCACAAAGAUGAAUAGAAGAGGGUAGAGGGGACCAAAUGAUGCUAAACCUACUUAUUAUUACAACUGAAUUACUUUGUUUUCACUGUACCUAGCAUGCUUCAUGACCUCAAAGAAAUUCAAGUCGUUGAUUUUGAUCUGGAAAGCUCUACUACAUCAAUAAAUACUUGUUCUGUAGAGAAGAGUCGUGUCCUUAGGGCAGCACACACAUCAAGAUAUUAAGGAAUAUAAGCACAGCCCCAUGUAUGAAAUAAGCCCCCAAAGAUCUGAACCACAGCUUGAUGUAGGUGUGCACGUGUGCCCCUGUCAUCACCUACAGCAUCACAGCCAUGUGCUGUGAGAUCAGAACAGCACUACAAUCUUCUUAUCUCAUAGCAAGCAUAAGAGUAUGUUCACGUAAUUGAAGUGAAACAUAAGUUUAAAAAAAGUGUCCCCUCUGAGAUCUUGGGAACUUCCUUCCUUCCUCUUCCUUGGGAAGGACCCCAAGGAAGAGUGAGGUGUGGUGACGUAUCUCCUCGCACUGCAAUUCCCUGAAACAUUAAUUGGCAUUAAAACACUCCUAAAAUGAAUUUGGUAUUUUUUCAGUAUAGCGGACUGACCGAAGAAAAUUACACGGCAGCCAAACAUUAAUUGUUUUCCCAGUGGCUCUUGAAAUGCUCGUGUAUUUGUGAGUUGACACAGUCCUUUGAAAUCCGUCACGAACUGCGCUUCUGCACCUGUGUUGCUUUACUGCAAGGGUUUAUUUCAGGAUGGAGACACAGAUGUCUGUCAGCGUGCUGCAACUGAGAGAAGAGAAAUUCCGUGACCAACCGAGGAGACAGGUUGGAUACACUUCACUCCGGUAAAGGAGAGGAUAAUGUAUUGAUCCAGAGGGAAAUAGCAUUUGCCAUAUGCUUGGUGCUCAAGUUUUUGCCUGAAAGAACAAGAGCUGGCCCCAGACCAAGGCUCUGUGAUUAAACUCGCCUUGAUCUUUGUGGAAAUUAUUGGCUUCCUUUGGCAGCUCCUCGCAGGCUGGAACAGGGGACAGGAGGGGACAGACCUAGUGGUGGGCACCGCUGCCGUUGUCUCCAGCAGCCUCCGUAGCUUUAUGGUAUGUGAUAAAAGCAGAGGGCCUGACCGCCUGACACGAAAUCUGCGAUCCCUCCGAGGUAUUUCUCGUGCUGUAGUGAAUGUCUUCCAGUGGAGCUCUGUCCUAGUUUUCUGUAAUAAUGUAAUGUUAUUAUAAGAGAAUGUCAAAACGAUAUCUGUUCAGAGAUUCUUUUAGUUCAGUGUUCAGAUGGAUAUCUUUUCUGGUGGUGGAUCGCACUUUACAAUUCUAAUGUAAAAAUAUCAAUACUAUUUGGGCUGUGAUAUGGACCUCUGCUAAUUGAAAGACUUAUUUAGCUAUGUAGUCUAUGGUUGCUGCUCCCGAUGGGUAUCAAAAGGCUUCCGGAAUUCUGCCUGGAAGGAGCACGUGCAGAUUUUUGCUCCUUUACACACUUUACCCCCCUGAAAGCCCUUCAAUGAGCUUCACAUCAUUCUCUGGUCCUCCUACACAUGCUGGAUUCGGUGACUCUUGUUGCAGGCAACAGGCUGCCCUGGGCUGUCCGUGCCAGUUCAUGGCUUCAGCAGCCUGAAAUAGGUGUUGAUAGUUUCUAAUUUAUCUUUGGAAGCCGGCUUCUGUGGAAUGUUCUCACCAGCAGUAUUUUAACUCAUCACUGGAAGUUAUUGUGCUUGAAUUUUACCUCCUUCAAAAUGAGGGAACAGACAAUUUCCUCCGGCCAUCUAACCCAAUCUGCAUCAAGCCCUGGUGCUCAGGAGACACGUGUGCUUGCAGGCCCGCGGCCUGGCCUGGGCCGGGCUCCCAUCUGCAUCCGCGCGCCUCCGCCGCUCCGGGGGCAGAGAGCUGCAGCUGAGAUUGGUAGUGACGCUUUGUCUCUCCUGCGUUCCGUGGCCACGCUUCAAGCAGACAAACCAAGGAUGUUAUUAAGCUUGGAAUUUCUCUGCAGCUUCCAACUUCAUUCACUGUGAAUGGCUUUUUAUGCGGCACUAAAAUCAAUGGUGUACCAACCCUCUUCUUAGGCAUACUCAGCACCGAGGGAAGAGCUCACUGCAGAUACCAAAGCCUUUCUCUCAGUAAUAAACACAGAAUGUGUUUAUUACUUCCAGACAUGUUUUUUUUUGCUGUUAGCAUGAAUAAAGUUAAUUGCCACAUUUUAGUUUCUCUUUGUAAUUAAGAGUUGAGCCUUCAGUGCUUUUCACUGCAGUUGCUGGCAAUUGAAGUUAAUCUUUUUAAUCAUUGCAGGAGAAGGAAUGCUCUCCAGUGUGGAUCCCACAUAAAAUAUGCCAUGUUUGGAAACAUAUCAACACCUAGGAAAAGCUAGAACAGUGCAUCUGGAGAAUGAGAGCGUUAACCCACAGCUUACUGCAGCAAGCAAGCUGUUAUCCACUAGCAGGAGAUGAACCGACCUUUUCCAUUUUCUCCUGGCAUCUCUGAAAUCAGAUUUUAAUAGCACAAGCCAGCAAGAACUACUGGGACGUGAAGUCUGAUCUUCUGAAUGCGCUGAUUUGAAGGAACCAUCCUUAAAAUGGCUUCAGCUUCUGCUGCUGCAGGUUGGUGGGGUGGAAGGAGCACGCAGGAUGGGGCUGGAGGCUCCGCCAUGUCAAGCAGUGGCCUGGGAAACCCAGCGCAAAACCGGCUUUGUCUGUACUGUAACCAUUAAGGAAAAUGCUAAGGAUGACUCUGAUUUUCUGUCACUAAAAGCGGGGCCAGGAGUUUCACAGAGACCAGCGCCAGAUGCUUCUGCAUGGCUCCAGAGGAGUCCAGGUCCUUGAAGCAGAGAAGGAUGGUUUCUGCGGGCAGGCAAAGGCUUCUGCCCUGAACACCACUGUCUGAACUCCUGUGUGAGUGGCUCCAGACCAUCCUCACAACUCCAAAAUAUGGAUUGAAAAUAAAAGCUGGGUAAAAUAGAUCAACCAGGCUCCAGGGAAGAGCUCUCUGCCAUGGAUGCUUGUUGCUGUGCUGUGGCCGGGCAGCUCGAGCCCCUGCAGCUGGCGGAGCUGCCUGCGGGUUUCAGCUGUGGACAGAAGCAGUGAAACAUCUUGCACAGCACUUGUGGGUUUUGCUCAGAAAAACAACUUUGCUUUUGGAGAGAGAAUGUUAUUUUCCUCUUUGCAACGUCCAAAGGAGAAACUGCCUACUGCAAGCUUUCUGAAUAAUAAACCUGAGUAUAUUUUGCAUAUGUUUUCUUCUGCUGUUCAAAAGAUAGAAAUGGGAGUUAAGGAUGGCUGCUUGUUUCGGCAUGGUAUCACGUAGGCUGAUCCAAAGAAAGAAAAUCCCUCGUGGUGACGAGGACGGUGAUGAAAGCGCCAGGUCCUUCCUCCCACGGGGACGGGGCGGCUGAGCUCAGAGCUGUGCGGGGAGCAGCCUGCGGUGAGGCCUCGGGCUCAGCACCGCCCGCAGCCCCUGGCCUGCUCCCGCGCACCGCAGUGCAUCCUGCAUGGGAAGAGCCCUCGGAGGCUGGGGCUGAAGGCACGGCAGCUGCCCCUCGCCCAGUGUGUCACAGAUGCCAGGAGGAGGAGAAAUGUGCUCAGUUGCAUCGUAAUCCUUGGUUUGUAAGAGGUGGCAAUUUCACGUAGUUUAUGCAAAUUUUCACCAAGUCUUUAAGGAAAAAAGUGUUGCGAAGAGGGCACUGGCAUCAGCUUGAAAGGAAUGUAAAUGAACAUAUCCUUAAAGCACAGUGUUGUUUGCCAGCAAAGACAAGUCGAGGAGAGAUGUAUUCCCACUGAACUCGCGGAGUUAUGGCAGUGCUGACACCAAGUUCUGUAAUUUUGUGCUAUUGCAGGGAGCAAAGUCAUCUCGUUGGGGAACUGUUCAUCUUUCUGGCUCUGCUUUGUACUGCUAAUGAUUCUGUAGCUACGUCUCUUUUUAUUUUAUUUUUGGUGGUGUGGUUUUUUUGUUUUUUCUUUUUUUUUUACAUUUCAGUGAAUGUCAUGCCUUUAUGUAAGACUCCAGAUAGCAUACAGAAAUAUGAAUUAUGCAAAACACCACACAGCUGUCAGAAUGCACGUGAAGAGCACUAUCACGCUGAAAUAAGUCAACGUGUGGUGAGUGUGAAGUAAUGCUGAUACUCUCCAUCAAAUAACGAAGUAAUUGUGCACGCAUUUGUGUGGAAAAGAUGAAAUUCCAGAUUUCAUGCAUGCAGGCAGCGGAGCCGGGGCUGGGCGCCGCGCUGCCAUGGCAACGGAGCAAGGCUUGGUACAGAAAUAGCUGAGCAUCGCAGGCCUCGCUUCUGGGAUGUGCCGUGUCCAACUUGGUAGCGGCCCCGCUCAAAGGCCAACGGGACCGCCAGCAUUCCCCGUCACUGACAGGGCAUGCCCUGCUCUCGGUGGUGGCAGAGUGAGCUAACAGCAGAGCUUCGUUCAUUAGAGAGCAGAGGUAAAACAUGCGCGCGGAGGGCUGCUUCUCAUUUAUCAUUACCCGCAAUCUCCUAUUACCGUCCACCAUUACCAUCAAAUAUUUAAAAACAUCUGAAAUUGGCUGUCGUUAAUGGCGGGGAUCGAUAUGUCGUAGGCUCCUUGCCCCGUGGCUUUCUGCAGCCGUGCCCGGCCGUGGCCCCGCUGCCCCAAGUGCUGUGCACAGAGCCAGGAGCCGCUGGGCACAGGUGACGUGCUGGAGCUGACGCAUCUAUGGGCUGGAUCCCGGCUGUCAUAGGGAACGUGAAUCGUGGGAACCCUGAGAGCCCGGCACAGGGCUGCGUCCCCCCGGAGCUCACAGGUGUGGGGCUGCACAGAGAGCUCUGAGAAAUGAAAAAGGAAGUGAAAAUGAGAUUUCUUCUCGCUGAUGGAUUUUGUACGUCCCUGCUCUUUUCUCCGUACUUUGCUGCUGGCAAGUGCUAGCUAAAUAACAGCAUGGAGUACUCAUUUAAAGCCUGAUUUAUGAACACUUUUGAAAUUAAAAUAAUUCUGAAUUCAAAUUCUUUUCAUAUGGCAUGCGGUUGGACAAUCGGUGGCCACGAAAACCUGUUGAGCAGCAAUGAUUUUAAACUGAAAACAAGAUUGGAAUACUUGGAUCUGAAUAAGUAUCAUUAUCUUGUACACCGAACUUUUCCUCUGUUCUCAUAUUUUGUCCCUCAAGAAAAUUUAAUGAGUGUAUUUCUUUUUCUUUCAAAGAAAUUGAUGUAUUUUGCUGACAAAAGAGUCUUAUAUAUAUAUAUGGCAGGUGGACUGUGAGAGCUUUGUGGCUAAUUGCAACCAUUCACACCAACAAAACCCUCCCGGGCCCUCAAUUGCAGUCUUCACACAGUGUGAGAUUUUGUCGGACCCUUGAGCAACUGUUUUAUAGUGAGUGUGCUCACAUGCACAGUCAGCUGGAGCUGGUCCUCCCGAGGUGCAGUCCUUCGCUCCAGCACCACCAGGGUGUGUGCUCAUGGCCUUCAGCCUGCUUUCAGACCGUCUUCAGAUUAAUGUUGAAGGAAGUAAGUGAAGGAAAAGGAGAUUACUUUGAAAGUAAUGGGUUCUCUUGCCUCCGGUUUCCUCCAA
Molecule: long non-coding RNA, 10716 nt
Organism: Numida meleagris (helmeted guineafowl)
Lineage: Eukaryota; Metazoa; Chordata; Aves; Galliformes; Numididae
Exons: 8
Source: RefSeq, a predicted model, not a curated record